Molecule: ribosomal RNA, 552 nt
Filed under: uncultured Glomus
Lineage: Eukaryota; Fungi; Glomeromycota; Glomeromycetes; Glomerales; Glomeraceae
Description: SSU rRNA
Rfam family: Eukaryotic small subunit ribosomal RNA
Source: RNAcentral
UUGGAGGGCAAGUCUGGUGCCAGCAGCCGCGGUAAUUCCAGCUCCAAUAGCGUAUAUUAAAGUUGUUGCAGUUAAAAAGCUCGUAGUUGAACCUCGGGGUCUACCCAUUGGUCAGGCUUAAUUGUCUGCACUGGUGAGAUGGAUCUCUACCUUCUGAGGAACUUUCAUGCCAUUUAUUUGGUGUGAUGGGAAAUCAGGACUGUUACUUUGAAAAAAUUAGAGUGUUUAAAGCAGACUAUCGUCUGAAUACAUCAGCAUGGAAUAAUGAAAUAGGACGGACUGAUUCUAUUUCGUUGGUUUCUAGGAUCACCGUAAUGAUUAAUAGGGAUAGUUGGGGGCAUUAGUAUUCAAUUGUCAGAGGUGAAAUUCUUGGAUUUAUUGAAGACUAACUACUGCGAAAGCAUUUGCCAAGGAUGUUUUCAUUAAUCAAGAACGAAAGUUAGGGGAUCGAAGACGAUCAGAUACCGUCGUAGUCUUAACCAUAAACUAUGCCGACUAGGGAUCGGACGAAGUUAAUUUUAUAAUGACGCGUUCGGCGCCUUACGGGAAACA